UUUCCCCCAAACCACCGCUAUCCCGAUCCCGAUCCCAAACCCUUCCUCGCACGCGCAAUGAUGCCACCACGCUGAUCGCCGUGAGCUCACCGCCGGCAGUGGCCUCCUCCAGCGUGCCUUGGCCGAGUCUCUCUCCUCCCCCCCCCCUCGUGCGUCUCUCAUCCCUUUCCCUCAUGCGUUUUUGCUUGAUAUCGCCGACGUCGAGCCUUCUCAUCCACCUUCGACCCCAUGACGCCACCGGAUCAUCGUGAGCACCAGCGGGGUUGUUCCUUUGCCUCUGGCCGACCGUCGUUGUCCCUCUUCAGUUCUUGAUCGUGCCCUAGAUUCAUCGGCAACGACCAUUCUUUUCCUCACCCGAUGAUCUUCUCUCACAAUCUCUGCUCUGAUCAUCACUGUUAUUUGUGGCCUCUUGCCGAACACCCCUGGCGACACCAUCUUUCCACCACCAGCCUGCUAUCGUCGGGAAUUCACUACUGUUGGUGGAUAUGAGCAGAGUUGUGACGUUUCAGUACCCUUUUCAUCUUUGGACAGAUCUGGUUACCUUCUGUGUUGUAGCUACCUUGUCUUCUUGGAGGUGUUUGAAGAAAUGCCUUGAGUCUUCUUGUCUCCUCUGUUCGCGCUGGCAGCAUCAUUGGCGGGCACAAAUUGUUGUGUGUUGCUGUUAGAACAGUGGGCAUUCACUAUAAGGAGUUGUGAGAUGAUAAUAGCUCUGCCUAGCACUACUCACCCUUUCCGGCAGCAAGUAUAUUUUCAGCUAUGGAUCACCACUUGAUCUUCCGGGUCUAGAUAGCUUGUAGAUGGUUGGUAUGUCUCUUGGAGUAUCCUGUCUGCCAGGUCCUACGUCACAUCCGAAGACGGUUUCAUCUCGUGUUUGUUUUCUGUUUGUAUAUCCUUUUAUUAUUUUUGGCAUGGUAUUUGUGUGUAGCCAUGUGGUUAUCUUAUGGUUUUGGUGUUGUAUUUGUGUUUAAGCCGUGCCGACACGCAUUGUAUUUAUUUGGUUUGU
Molecule: long non-coding RNA, 1003 nt
Organism: Zingiber officinale
Lineage: Eukaryota; Viridiplantae; Streptophyta; Magnoliopsida; Zingiberales; Zingiberaceae
Exons: 3
Source: RefSeq, a predicted model, not a curated record